AAACUAUAACACACUUAAGGUGAACUAUCGAUGCACCUCAGGUCAAAGAACUAGACACACAGCUGCAGCUUCGAGCUAGUCAUCGAUGAGAAGAUAGACUUCCUUAUGACUGCUCGAUAUGGUCACGUUCAGUCCUCUCAUUCUCAAUGAAUACCUGUACUCUCACUCUGGUGUCUCCACACCAUAGACUCAAGACACAUCUACCCUAAGAAAUUGAUCAUACACCAACCUUCCAGAUCGAUCACCAUUCUCGUAAUGAUCCUAUGGUCAGGAGCUGCUUAUGAGUUAGUUAUGUAAAUUUAUGCCUUAAAUUUUCAACUCUUGAAAAUAUGAAUUGACAUUUCUACUAACUCAAAGGAUGUAUCACAGACACAAUGUACACAAUGUGAUAGAAGAAUAAUCUAUUUAUUGAUUUAUAGUCAAAAUUAUAAAUUUGUUCUUAGAUUUAUAUAGGAAUGUGUUAGCUAAUCUGGCAUCUAGGGUACACAUGUAAAAAUCAGCCACUUCGCUAUCAAGCA
Molecule: long non-coding RNA, 518 nt
Filed under: Elaeis guineensis (African oil palm)
Lineage: Eukaryota; Viridiplantae; Streptophyta; Magnoliopsida; Arecales; Arecaceae
Description: long non-coding RNA (EGUI_LNC075364)
Source: RNAcentral